Molecule: ribosomal RNA, 440 nt
Filed under: uncultured bacterium
Lineage: Bacteria
Description: partial 16S ribosomal RNA
Rfam family: Bacterial small subunit ribosomal RNA
Source: RNAcentral
CCUACGGGAGGCAGCAGUAGGGAAUUUUGCGCAAUGGGCGAAAGCCUGACGCAGCAACGCCGCGUGAUCGAGACAGCCUUCGGGGUUUAAAGAUCUGUCAGUGAGGGCGAAACUUGACGAUACCCACUGAGUAAGCACCGGCUAACUCCGUGCCAGCAGCCGCGGUCAUACGGGGGGUGCAAGCGUUGUCCGGAAUCAUUGUGCGUAAAGAGUUCGUAGGCGGAAAGUAAAGUCUGGUGGUAAAGGCAGAGGCUCAACUUCUAUACGACAAUGGAUACUUGCGAGCUAGAAUGCGGUAGAGGUAAAGGGAAUUCCUGGUGUAGCGGUGAAAUGCUUAGAUAUCAGGAGGAACAUCGGUGGCGUAAGCGGUUUACUGGGCCGUAAUUGACGCUGAGGAACGAAAGCCAGGGUAGCAAAUGGGAUUAGAUACCCGUGUAGUC